RNAcentral lists this ribosomal RNA (339 nucleotides) under uncultured bacterium. RNAcentral's name for it is "bacterial SSU rRNA". It matches the Rfam family "Bacterial small subunit ribosomal RNA", at positions 28 to 372 of the family's 1533-position model. The record is from RNAcentral.
GAUGAACGCUGGCGGCGUGCUUAAGACAUGCAAGUCGAACGGAGUGUGUAGCAAUACUCACUGGGCGGCGAAUGGGUGAGUAACACGUAGGUGACCUGCCCUGAAGUGCGGAAUAACAGUCCGAAAGGAUUGCUAAUACCGCAUGUGGUCCCGGGCGUUAGAGAACCGGGUCUAAAGCAGUAAUGCGCUUCAGGAGGGGCCUGCGGUCCAUCAGCUAGUUGGAGGGCAAUGGCCUACCAAGGCAACGACGGAUAGGGGACCUGAGAGGGUGGCCCCCACAUUGGCACUGACACACGGGCCAACUCCUACGGGAGGCAGCAGUCGGGAAUAUUGGUCAAU